RNAcentral lists this ribosomal RNA (265 nucleotides) under Salinivibrio sp. IB870. Its description in RNAcentral is "partial 23S ribosomal RNA". It matches the Rfam family "Bacterial large subunit ribosomal RNA", at positions 1 to 261 of the family's 2925-position model. Lineage: Bacteria; Pseudomonadati; Pseudomonadota; Gammaproteobacteria; Vibrionales; Vibrionaceae. The record is from RNAcentral.
GUUGUAUGGUUAAGUGACUAAGCGUAGACGGUGGAUGCCUUGGCAGUCAGAGGCGAUGAAGGACGUGCUAACCUGCGAAAAGCGAUGGUGAGCUGGUAAGAAGCAUUUGAGCCAUCGAUGUCCGAAUGGGGAAACCCACCUGCAUAAGCAGGUAUCUUAGUGUGAAUACAUAGCGCUAAGAGGCGAACUCGGGGAACUGAAACAUCUAAGUACCCGAAGGAAAAGAAAUCAAUUGAGAUUCCGGCAGUAGCGGCGAGCGAACCCG